UUGAAUGUUUUUUUCCUGGUA
This is a non-coding RNA of Caenorhabditis elegans, 21 nucleotides long. NCBI's taxonomy places the organism in Eukaryota, Metazoa, Nematoda, Chromadorea, Rhabditida, Rhabditidae. The record is from Ensembl.